Molecule: ribosomal RNA, 745 nt
Filed under: Pseudomonas aeruginosa
Lineage: Bacteria; Pseudomonadati; Pseudomonadota; Gammaproteobacteria; Pseudomonadales; Pseudomonadaceae
Description: partial 23S ribosomal RNA
Rfam family: Bacterial large subunit ribosomal RNA
Source: RNAcentral
GAUGUCCGAAUGGGGAAACCCAGUGCAAUUCGUUGCACUAUCGUUAACUGAAUACAUAGGUUAACGAGGCGAACCGGGGGAACUGAAACAUCUAAGUACCCCGAGGAAAAGAAAUCAACCGAGAUUCCCCCAGUAGCGGCGAGCGAACGGGGAGCAGCCCAGAGUCUGAAUCAGCUUGUGUGUUAGUGGAACGGUCUGGAAAGUCCGACGGUACAGGGUGAUAGUCCCGUACACCAAAAUGCACAGGUUGUGAACUCGAAGAGUAGGGCGGGACACGUGGUAUCCUGUCUGAAUAUGGGGGGACCAUCCUCCAAGGCUAAAUACUCCUGACUGACCGAUAGUGAACCAGUACCGUGAGGGAAAGGCGAAAAGAACCCCGGCGAGGGGAGUGAAAAAGAACCUGAAACCGUGUACGUACAAGCAGUGGGAGCACCUUCGGGUGUGACUGCGUACCUUUUGUAUAAUGGGUCAGCGACUUAUAUUCUGUAGCAAGGUUAACCGUAUAGGGGAGCCGCAGGGAAACCGAGUCUUAACUGGGCGUUAAGUUGCAGGGUAUAGACCCGAAACCCGGUGAUCUAGCCAUGGGCAGGUUGAAGGUUGGGUAACACUAACUGGAGGACCGAACCGACUAAUGUUGAAAAAUUAGCGGAUGACUUGUGGCUGGGGGUGAAAGGCCAAUCAAACCGGGAGAUAGCUGGUUCUCCCCGAAAGCUAUUUAGGUAGCGCCUCGUGAACUCAUCUUCGG